UACGUAGGGUGCGAGCGUUGUCCGGAAUUACUGGGCGUAAAGAGCUCGUAGGUGGUUUGUCGCGUUGUUCGUGAAAACUCACAGCUUAACUGUGGGCGUGCGGGCGAUACGGGCAGACUGGAGUACUGCAGGGGAGACUGGAAUUCCUGGUGUGGCGGUGGAAUGCGCAGAUAUCAGGAGGAACACCGGUGGCGAAGGCGGGUCUCUGGGCAGUAACUGACGCUGAGGAGCGAAAGCGUGGGGAGCGAACAGG
Molecule: ribosomal RNA, 253 nt
Filed under: uncultured bacterium
Lineage: Bacteria
Description: partial 16S ribosomal RNA
Rfam family: Bacterial small subunit ribosomal RNA
Source: RNAcentral